CGGAGCCGAAGCGAAAGCGAGUCUGAAGAGGGCGGCCAGUCGGGGGGGGUAGACGCGAAACCGAGUGAUCUACCCUUGGCCAGGUUGAAGGUUGGGUAACACCAACUGGAGGACCGGAUGGGUAAGCGUUGAAAAGCUUUCCAAUGAGCUGAGGGUGGGGGUGAAAGGCUAAUCAAACUUGGAGAUAGCUCGUACUCCCCGAAAUGCAUUUAGGUGCAGCCUCUUUAUAGUAUAUCGUGAGGUAGAGCGACUGAUUGGAUGCGAGGGCUUCACCGCCUAUCAAGUCCAGAUAAACUCCGAAUGCGCGAUAUAUAUUUACAGGGAGUGAGGGCGCGGGUGCUAAGGUCCGUGUCCGAGAGGAGAAGAAUCCAGACCACCGGCUAAGGCCCCCAAAUGAUCGUUGAGUUGAACUAACGAGGUCGGAUCGCAGAGACAGCUAGGAUGUUGGCUUGGAAGCAGCCAUUCAUUUAAAGAGUGCGUAACAGCUCACUAGUCGAGCGAUCUGGCGUGGAUAAUAAUCGGGCAUAAACGAUCUGCCGAAGCCGUGGAUGUCGCAAGACAUGGUAGGGGAGCAUUCCAUGCCGCGUCGAAGAUGAGGGAUGACCCUUGUUGGAGCGCAUGGAAAAGCAAAUGUAGGUAUGAGUAACGAUAAGGGGGGCGAGAAACCCCCCCGCCGAAAGACCAAGGUUUCCUGAUCAACGCUAAUCGGAUCAGGGUGAGUCGGGACCUAAGGCAAAGCCGAACGGCGACGCCGAUGGAAGAAUGGGUUAAUAUUCCCAUACUGCCUCAUGGAGUGACGUGGAGACGGAGAAGUGACAGUCCUGCCGGCUGACGGAAUAGCCGGUUGAAGGGUGUAGAUAUUGAUUCCCGUAGGCAAAUCCGCGGGGAGAGUCGAACCUGACAGUAUACCGAGUACUUGUACGAGGUAAUAUGGACGUAACCAUGCUCCCAAGAAAAUCCGCUAAACUUAUCCAUGCGGCACCCGUACCGUAAACGGACACACGUGGUCGGGUUGAGAAUACUGAGGCGCUCGAGUGACUCACGGUUAAGGAACUAGGCAAAUUGACCCUGUAACUUCGGGAUAAAGGGUCCUCGUCGUAAGGCGAGGCGCAGAGAAUAGGUCCAGGCAACUGUUUAACAAAAACACAGGGCUGUGCAAAAUUGAAAGAUUACGUAUACAGCCUGACACCUGCCCGGUGCUGGAAGGUUAAGAGGAGAUGUCAUCGCAAGAGAAGCGUUGAAUUGAAGCCCCAGUAAACGGCGGCCGUAACUAUAACGGUCCUAAGGUAGCGAAAUUCCUUGUCGGGUAAGUUCCGACCUGCACGAAUGGUGUAAUGAUCUGGACACUGUCUCAACCGUGAGCUCAGUGAAAUUGUAGUAUCGGUGAAGAUGCCGAUUACCCGCGAUGGGACGAAAAGACCCCGUGAACCUUUACUAUAGCUUUACAUUGAAUUUGGGCAGACGAUGUGUAGGAUAGGCCGGAGGCUUUGAAGGGGGUACGCCAGUAUCCUUGGAGCCGCCGUUGAAAUACGGCCCUUCGGUUGUUUGAGUUCUAACUCCUAGGCAGGAGGACACUGUAUGGUGGGUAGUUUGACUGGGGUGGUCGCCUCCAAAAGCGUAACGGAGGCUUCUAAAGGUGCCCUCAGACCGAUUGGUAACCGGUCGUAGAGUGUAAUGGCAUAAGGGCGCUUGACUGGGAGAGAUACAACUCGAUCAGGUAGGAAACU
RNAcentral lists this ribosomal RNA (1727 nucleotides) under human gut metagenome. Its description in RNAcentral is "bacterial LSU rRNA". It matches the Rfam family "Bacterial large subunit ribosomal RNA", at positions 661 to 2406 of the family's 2925-position model. The record is from RNAcentral.